GACGAACGCUGGCGGCGUGCCUAAUACAUGCAAGUUGAGCGCUGAAGGUUGGUACUUGUCCCGACUGGAUGAGCAGCGAACGGGUGAGUAACGCGUGGGGAAUCCGCCUUUGAGCGGGGGACAACAUUUGGAAACGAAUGCUAAUACCGCAUAAAAACUUUAAACACAAGUUUUAAGUUUGAAAGAUGCAAUUGCAUCACUCAAAGAUGAUCCCGCGUUGUAUUAGCUAGUUGGUGAGGUAAAGGCUCACCAAGGCGAUGAUACAUAGCCGACCUGAGAGGGUGAUCGGCCACAUUGGGACUGAGACACGGCCCAAACUCCUACGGGAGGCAGCAGUAGGGAAUCUUCGGCAAUGGACGAAAGUCUGACCGAGCAACGCCGCGUGAGUGAAGAAGGUUUUCGGAUCGUAAAACUCUGUUGGUAGAGAAGAACGUUGGUGAGAGUGGAAAGCUCAUCAAGUGACGGUAACUACCCAGAAAGGGACGGCUAACUACGUG
RNAcentral lists this ribosomal RNA (497 nucleotides) under uncultured bacterium. RNAcentral describes it as "partial 16S ribosomal RNA". It matches the Rfam family "Bacterial small subunit ribosomal RNA", at positions 28 to 507 of the family's 1533-position model. The record is from RNAcentral.